GACGAACGCUGGCGGCGUGCUUAACACAUGCAAGUCGAACGGAAAGGCCCUGCUUGCAGGGUACUCGAGUGGCGAACGGGUGAGUAACACGUGGGUGAUCUGCCCUGCACUUCGGGAUAAGCCUGGGAAACUGGUCUAAUACCGGAUAGGAGCCCUUUUUAGUGUGAUGGUUGGAAAGUUUUUUCGGUGUAGGAUGAGCUCGCGGCCUAUCAGCUUGUUGGUGGGGUAAUGGCCUACCAAGGCGGCGACGGGUAGCCGGCCUGAGAGGGUGGACGGCCACAUUGGGACUGAGAUACGGCCCAGACUCCUACGGGAGGCAGCAGUGGGGAAUAUUGCACAAUGGGCGCAAGCCUGAUGCAGCGACGCCGCGUGGGGGAUGACGGCCUUCGGGUUGUAAACUCCUUUCGCUAGGGACGAAGCUUUUUGUGACGGUACCUAGAUAAGAAGCACCGGCUAACUACGUG
This 464-nucleotide ribosomal RNA is filed under the name uncultured bacterium. Its description in RNAcentral is "partial 16S ribosomal RNA". It matches the Rfam family "Bacterial small subunit ribosomal RNA", at positions 28 to 507 of the family's 1533-position model. The record is from RNAcentral.